Long non-coding RNA from Quercus robur (English oak), 104 nucleotides. RefSeq lists it as uncharacterized. The transcript is spliced from 2 exons. Lineage: Eukaryota; Viridiplantae; Streptophyta; Magnoliopsida; Fagales; Fagaceae. The record is from RefSeq and is a predicted model, not a curated record.
CAGAAACACAAGAAGAUUUUUAUUUAGUAUUAUUUAUGUUUGCAAGUCAAUUGUAUUUUUUAUGUUUUAGGUCCUAGUAGUUUAUUAGGCUAUUAAUAUUUUAA